UAUUGCACACUGGGCGAAAGCCUGAUGCAGCGACGCCGCGUGAGGGAAGACGGUCUUCGGAUUGUAAACCUCUGUCUUUGGGGAAGAAAUCAGACGGUACCCAAAGAGGUAGCUCCGGCUACCUACGUUCCAGCAGCCGCGGUAAUACGUAGGGUGCGAGCGUUGUCCGGAAUUACUGGGUGUAAAGGGAGCGUAGGCGGGCUUGUAAGUUGGAUGUCUAAUCCACCGGCUCAACCGGUGAUCGCGUUCAAAACUGCAGGUCUUGAGUGAAGUAGAGGCAGGCGGAAUUCCUAGUGUAGCGGUGAAAUGCGUAGAUAUUAGGAGGAACACCAGUGGCGAAGGCGGCCUGCUGGGCUUUAACUGACGCUGAGGCUCGAAAGCGUGGGGAGCAAACAGG
This 397-nucleotide ribosomal RNA is filed under the name uncultured bacterium. Its description in RNAcentral is "bacterial SSU rRNA". It matches the Rfam family "Bacterial small subunit ribosomal RNA", at positions 362 to 776 of the family's 1533-position model. The record is from RNAcentral.